GAGAAAGGCUCAGGGCCACACUGGGAUCCCAAACACCCAGUGUAGUUGCUGGCCAACUAAUAAUGAUUUCUAUUGGCUUAAGCCUGUGUCCUGGGUCCUCUGUAAGAGCAUUACACACUCUUAACCCCUGGGCUAUCUCUCCAGCCCCCACCUCUUCGUUACUUUUAUUGACUUUAGCUCUAAUACCAAUGUAGGAUUGAACGGGAUGGUGGAAGGUACAUCUGUUGGCUGGAAAUUACCUCUCUGCAGCAUGAAUGACCAGGACAAGCUCAUGGGGAACACUCACCCAAGCAUCCAGCAAGGCACCAUCCUGCUCUUGCUUCUUGCCGCCUGUAAGCAGCUAACCAUACCGAGCCACAGGCAAGAGCUUGACAGAGUUUUGGGAGGACUGGCACUGACGUUGCGUCUGAAGGAACCUUCAAAGUCUGGCAUCUGAACAUUGUACUAUAGUGCAUCUACAUUCAAGCAUGUCUGUGUUCCCUCCUUCCUCCCCUCCUUUUUCUCUCCCUCCAUCCCUCCUUAGUGAUGGAGAUCCAACCCAAGGCCCUGCACAUGUUAAGCAUACACCACUGGCUAUACCCCCCAAAUCCUUUUUUUUAUUUUCUGAGAUGUGGAGGGCAUCUGGGAAUAGAACCCAAGCCUUAUGCGUGUUAGGUGAGUACCCCACCACUGAGCUAUGAUCUCAGCAGCCCUCAGAUGUUUUAUUAAGAUACAUCAAGGAACUGAUUCUGAGUAACAAAGGCUAGUUCAGACUUUGAGUAAAUCUUCAUUGAUCAACUACUAGAGGUUCAUGGAUAUUCUAGAUUGCUCUGUAAAGAAGGAAGGUGGAAAGGAAAGAACAAAAAAGAAGGAAGGGAUGGAGGGACUGAGGGAUGCAGGAGUAGCAGGACCUAGACUAUAGCAUGUCAGGACUCACUCAUUAUCUAGCAUAUGCUAUCAUCUUCCACUUGAUAUCUAGCUUUCCAAGUUAGGUGCUUGGCUGCCUUGGCUCAGGUCCUGUGGCCCUACUUCUGCUGGUAGGGAAUUCAGUACCCAGCAAACGUCCUGGAGCAGCGUGGGUCAGAGCAGGAGAGAGAAAUCAGGAGCUAGUCUGAAAAAGAAAAGCUUAAUAUAAGGAAUUAUUAAUCAGCAGUCUAUUGUUUAUAAAAGUGAGAGGACACAGAAG
Molecule: long non-coding RNA, 1165 nt
Filed under: Cricetulus griseus (Chinese hamster)
Lineage: Eukaryota; Metazoa; Chordata; Mammalia; Rodentia; Cricetidae
Description: lncRNA (ENSCGRG00015033110.1)
Source: RNAcentral